Molecule: long non-coding RNA, 1553 nt
Organism: Erinaceus europaeus (western European hedgehog)
Lineage: Eukaryota; Metazoa; Chordata; Mammalia; Eulipotyphla; Erinaceidae
Exons: 2
Source: RefSeq, a predicted model, not a curated record
UUUUAAUAUACUGUUAUAUCCGAUUGACUACAGUUUUGUUCACUAGUUUAGCAUCUAUGUUCAUCAGAUAUGUUGCUCUGUAGUUUUCUUUUUUGGUUGUGUCCCUGUCUGCUUUUGGUAUCAGAGUGAUGUUGUCUUCACAGAAGUGGAAAAGGAGUAUUCCUGUGUCUCAAUCUUUUGGAAGAGAUUUAAAGUAUCUCCCUCUCCUUAGCACUUAUUCAACCCAACAUAAUUCCUUCUAGUAUCUUCCAUGUUGGUGCAAGAGAAUGUUGACAUUUUUCCCAACUAUAGUUUUCAAUUGUAUAUGCCACAACUCUGUAAUGCAUCUGUAAUCAUAUAUCUGUAGAGACACUUGGGUUGAUGAAUGCAAUGAAAUGGUGUGCAUAUAUCUUUUCAGACAGGUGGCAUACUCUUGGAUAGAUGCCGGAGAGAGAACUGCUGGGUUAUAUGAACCUGGUCCUGAUGACAGCACAACAGGAGGAAUCAUGCUAUGGUGUCUACUCACCCUCUUCCUCAUCUCUGACUGGAGGGAAUCCAGAGAGUCUGCUGGAGCACUGGAGUCCUGCAGGCAGCAGCUGGAGGAAAGGAUGAAAUCAGGCGUGAAGGAGGAGAGGCUGUGCACAGGGCCCGGGUGGCUGCCCUGCGAUGGGAUGAGGUGACCAGGGGCAGCGUGGAGGGACCAGCACUGCCCAGACCCUGGGCUGUGGGUUCGCAAGGCUGCCCUUCAGGAGUGAGGGGCCCGAGGGUGCGGAGUCACAAGAAGCUUGCGGACAUGGGAACUGCAGUCCUGCAACAAGGCUGCCAGGCACCCAUGCCGUUGGGGGGCAGAUGUGGGGUUCCCGGGUCCCCAGUGGCAUGUGGAUGGACAGCGGCACCUCUGCCCAGACUCCCCCUUGACCCGAGACCAGGCUCUGCAGGCCUCUGUGCUCCUUGGCCUCCCCAAGGAAGCCAGUUUUGAAAAAUAAAAAUAAGAAUUAGAAACAAGACAAAGUAUUCCAAUUAUUGUUAGGGAAACAAAUUUAGAUUCUCAAUAGAAAAUUGAGGAUACUGGAGCCAGGUUUUGGGGGAAGGAGACAGGAAUGUUUUAAUGCACAGACCAAAAGCUCAGAUUAUUCUGCAAGUUUUUGGCCCCCAGUUGAAUCCCUAAACAGUAGAAACAAUGUCCUGGAACAAGACACUUCAAGAUCCAGGAACAACAUACCUGCUGGGUUGUGGGAGGGAGGGAGCCAGAGUCUGGCCACCUGAGGCCACAGUGGCCCCUGCUGUGAGGAGGGGCAAGGUCCAGGAGAGCAGUGCAGCUCAGGACCAGCUGUCCAUAAUGCCCAGACACUCCACAGGCAGGACUCCUUAAGGAGACAGGGAGGAUUCUGAUUGUCAAACUUUAUGUGACAUCACAAUGAGCCCUGCCUCAGCCUUAGCUGCUCUACAGGAUGACUGAAAUUUUAGUGAGUGCUUCACUAAGUAGGUCAUUAAGGGAGUAAUCAAGUUGUGUCGCUUCACUGCUCCUUUUAAAGAAGAUAACAGUUCAGUUCUGAAAUAAAAUUGCUGCAAAA